This 379-nucleotide unclassified non-coding RNA is filed under the name uncultured bacterium. Its description in RNAcentral is "contains 16S-23S intergenic spacer region". The record is from RNAcentral.
UCGCGGCUUAUCACCGGCAGUCCCCUUAGAGUGCCCAACUGAAUGAUGGCAACUAAGGGCGAGGGUUGCGCUCGUUGCGGGACUUAACCCAACAUCUCACGACACGAGCUGACGACAGCCAUGCAGCAUCUGUGCACGAGCUCCGAAGAGGGGCCGCGCUUUCACGCGGCUUUCUCGUGCAUGUCAAGCCCAGGUAAGGUUCUUCGCGUUGCGUCGAAUUAAACCACAUGCUCCACCGCUUGUGCGGGCCCCCGUCAAUUCCUUUGAGUUUCAGCCUUGCGGCCGUACUCCCCAGGCGGGGUGCUUAAUGCGUUAGCUUCGGCACGGACGGAGUCGACACCGCCCACACCUAGCACCCAUCGUUUACGGCGUGGACUAC